This 429-nucleotide ribosomal RNA is filed under the name uncultured prokaryote. RNAcentral describes it as "bacterial SSU rRNA". It matches the Rfam family "Bacterial small subunit ribosomal RNA", at positions 355 to 774 of the family's 1533-position model. The record is from RNAcentral.
UAAGGAAUAUUGCGCAAUGGACGAAAGUCUGACGCAGCAACGCCGCGUGCGGGACGAAGGCCCUUCGGGUCGUAAAGCUCUGUCAAAGGGAAAGAAGUGCAUGGAGGUUAAUACCCUUCAUGUUUGACGGUACCCUUAAAGGAAGCACCGGCUAACUCCGUGCCAGCAGCCGCGGUAAGACAGAGGUGGCAAGCGUUGCUCGGAAUCACUGGGCUUAAAGGGUGCGUAGGCGGUUGGGUAAGCAUCCUGUGAAAUCCCCCGGCUCAACCGGGGAACUGCAGGAUGGACUGCUUAACUUGAGGCGUGUAGAGGUCACUGGAACUCUGGGUGGAGCGGUGAAAUGCGUAGAUAUCCAGGGGAACGCCCAUGGCGAAGGCAGGUGACUGGGCACGUCCUGACGCUGAGGCACGAAAGCGUGGGGAGCGAACG